RNAcentral lists this ribosomal RNA (549 nucleotides) under Escherichia coli. RNAcentral's name for it is "bacterial SSU rRNA". It matches the Rfam family "Bacterial small subunit ribosomal RNA", at positions 977 to 1526 of the family's 1533-position model. The record is from RNAcentral. Lineage: Bacteria; Pseudomonadati; Pseudomonadota; Gammaproteobacteria; Enterobacterales; Enterobacteriaceae. RNAcentral also lists the same sequence under 1 other name.
GGUCUUGACAUCCACGGAAGUUUUCAGAGAUGAGAAUGUGCCUUCGGGAACCGUGAGACAGGUGCUGCAUGGCUGUCGUCAGCUCGUGUUGUGAAAUGUUGGGUUAAGUCCCGCAACGAGCGCAACCCUUAUCCUUUGUUGCCAGCGGUCCGGCCGGGAACUCAAAGGAGACUGCCAGUGAUAAACUGGAGGAAGGUGGGGAUGACGUCAAGUCAUCAUGGCCCUUACGACCAGGGCUACACACGUGCUACAAUGGCGCAUACAAAGAGAAGCGACCUCGCGAGAGCAAGCGGACCUCAUAAAGUGCGUCGUAGUCCGGAUUGGAGUCUGCAACUCGACUCCAUGAAGUCGGAAUCGCUAGUAAUCGUGGAUCAGAAUGCCACGGUGAAUACGUUCCCGGGCCUUGUACACACCGCCCGUCACACCAUGGGAGUGGGUUGCAAAAGAAGUAGGUAGCUUAACCUUCGGGAGGGCGCUUACCACUUUGUGAUUCAUGACUGGGGUGAAGUCGUAACAAGGUAACCGUAGGGGAACCUGCGGUUGGAUCAC